This 506-nucleotide long non-coding RNA is filed under the name Jatropha curcas. Its description in RNAcentral is "long non-coding RNA (JCUR_LNC001155)". The record is from RNAcentral. Lineage: Eukaryota; Viridiplantae; Streptophyta; Magnoliopsida; Malpighiales; Euphorbiaceae.
UAGCCUCCGCGACCCUAAUCUUCCGAUCCCACCAGUUCCGCUUCAAUUACUAGAGCCAUUACUACAGCAUAAUAAUCAACAUGAUCAGCGUAGUCUUCGAAAUGGUAGUGUAGAUAGACAAAACGAUGAGGAUAACAAGAAGGACAAAGAAGCAGACGAGAGAGAAGUUCGAAUCUUAGGUAUCUGCUUGAAACGGAGGAGAGAUGACGAAUCAUCGUCGAAUAGCUCGAAAAAGGCAGCAGCUUGUGGUGAAUUGGAGCUUGAAGAGAGGAGAAAUUCGGUUAAAUCAUGGGGAAACCAGUCAAUUUCUACGGCGGAUCCUGAGAUAUCUGAGAUAAUGGAUAAGGAGAAAGAUAGACAAUUUAAAGGAAUUGAAUUGAUAGCAUCUGAGAAUUUUGUUUGUAGAGCAGUAAUGGAAGCAUUAGGAAGUCAUUUAACAAAUAAAUAUUCAGAAGGAGUACCCGGGUCGAGAUACUAUGGUGGGAAUCAAUACAUUGAUGAAAUAG